UACGAAGGGGGCUAGCGUUGCUCGGAAUCACUGGGCGUAAAGGGUGCGUAGGCGGGUCUUUAAGUCAGGGGUGAAAUCCUGGAGCUCAACUCCAGAACUGCCUUUGAUACUGAAGAUCUUGAGUUCGGGAGAGGUGAGUGGAACUGCGAGUGUAGAGGUGAAAUUCGUAGAUAUUCGCAAGAACACCAGUGGCGAAGGCGGCUCACUGGUCCGGAACUGACGCUGAGGUGCGAAAGCGUGGGGAGCAAACAGGG
This 254-nucleotide ribosomal RNA is filed under the name uncultured bacterium. RNAcentral's name for it is "partial 16S ribosomal RNA". It matches the Rfam family "Bacterial small subunit ribosomal RNA", at positions 524 to 777 of the family's 1533-position model. The record is from RNAcentral.